RNAcentral lists this transfer RNA (71 nucleotides) under Camelus bactrianus (Bactrian camel). It matches the Rfam family "tRNA". Rfam says of the family: Transfer RNA (tRNA) molecules are approximately 80 nucleotides in length. The record is from Rfam by way of RNAcentral. RNAcentral also lists the same sequence under 1 other name. Lineage: Eukaryota; Metazoa; Chordata; Mammalia; Artiodactyla; Camelidae.
AGGGGAAUAGAUCAAUGGUAGAACACGUGCUUAGCAUGCAUGGGGUCCUGGGUUCAACCCCAGUACCUCCA